This 574-nucleotide ribosomal RNA is filed under the name uncultured Actinomycetes bacterium. RNAcentral's name for it is "bacterial SSU rRNA". It matches the Rfam family "Bacterial small subunit ribosomal RNA", at positions 241 to 827 of the family's 1533-position model. Lineage: Bacteria; Bacillati; Actinomycetota; Actinomycetes. The record is from RNAcentral.
UACGCUUGUUGGUGAGUAAUGGCUCACCAAGGCGACGACGGGUAGCCGGCCUGAGAGGGCGACCGGCCACACUGGGACUGAGACACGGCCCAGACUCCUACGGGAGGCAGCAGUGGGGAAUAUUGCACAAUGGGCGAAAGCCUGAUGCAGCGACGCCGCGUGAGGGAUGACGGCCUUCGGGUUGUAAACCUCUUUCAGCAGGGAAGAAGCGAAAGUGACGGUACCUGCAGAAGAAGCGCCGGCUAACUACGUGCCAGCAGCCGCGGUAAUACGUAGGGCGCGGAGCGUUGUCCGGAAUUAUUGGGCGUAAAGAGCUCGUAGGCGGCUUGUCGCGUCGGUUGUGAAAGCCCGGGGCUUAACCCCGGGUCUGCAGUCGAUACGGGCAGGCUAGAGUUCGGUAGGGGAGAUCGGAAUUCCUGGUGUAGCGGUGAAAUGCGCAGAUAUCAGGAGGAACACCGGUGGCGAAGGCGGAUCUCUGGGCCGAUACUGACGCUGACGAGCGAAAGCGUGGGGAGCGAACAGGAUUAGAUACCCUGGUAGUCCACGCCGUAAACGGUGGGCACUAGGUGUGGGC